Molecule: ribosomal RNA, 264 nt
Filed under: unidentified marine bacterioplankton
Lineage: Bacteria
Description: partial 16S ribosomal RNA
Rfam family: Bacterial small subunit ribosomal RNA
Source: RNAcentral
AAGCUUGCUUUCUCUGCCGGCGAGCGGCGGACGGGUGAGUAACGCGUAGGAAUCUACCUAGUAGAGGGGGACAACAUGUGGAAACGCAUGCUAAUACCGCAUACGCCUUUAGGGGGAAAGCAGGGGAUCUUAGGACCUUGCGCUAUUAGAUGAGCCUGCGUGAGAUUAGCUAGUUGGUAGGGUAAAGGCCUACCAAGGCGACGAUCUCUAGCUGGUCUGAGAGGAUGACCAGCCACACUGGGACUGAGACACGGCCCAGACUCC